GGACGUGAGGGCAAUCUGGCUGCAACACCUGUCACCCCAUUGAUCGCCAGGGUUGAUUCAGCUGAUCUGGCUAGCUAGGUGAGUGUCCCCUUCCACCCUAAGCACUCCAAGUGCAUCUCUCCUGAAGCUGCCUGUGCACUUGGUCAAAGGGAAUGACCCUCCCUGAAUAGAGGAGGAGAAGUCUUAGUCAAGGGUAUACCAGUAGCUGUGCUCCCCUGCUAGAACCUCCAAACAAGCUCUCAAGAUUUAGUUCCUGACUAGUAACAGACUUCUUCUUUGACGAAAGUGAAAAAGCUGUUUAAUUCUUUUUAUUUGUUUUUUUUGUGUACAUGUGUCUAUGAUAUGUG
This is a non-coding RNA of Cricetulus griseus (Chinese hamster), 347 nucleotides long. The record is from Rfam. NCBI's taxonomy places the organism in Eukaryota, Metazoa, Chordata, Mammalia, Rodentia, Cricetidae.